RNAcentral lists this ribosomal RNA (253 nucleotides) under uncultured bacterium. Its description in RNAcentral is "partial 16S ribosomal RNA". It matches the Rfam family "Bacterial small subunit ribosomal RNA", at positions 524 to 776 of the family's 1533-position model. The record is from RNAcentral.
UACGUAGGGUGCGAGCGUUAAUCGGAAUUACUGGGCGUAAAGCGUGCGCAGGCGGUUUUGUAAGCCAGAUGUGAAAUCCCCGGGCUUAACCUGGGAAUGGCAUUUGGGACUGCAAGGCUUGAGUGCGGCAGAGGAGACUGGAAUUCCUGGUGUAGCAGUGAAAUGCGUAGAUAUCAGGAGGAACACCAGUGGCGAAGGCGGCACUCUGGGCUGGCACUGACGCUGAGGAGCGAAAGCGUGGGGAGCGAACAGG